AGCCCGUAGAGCCACCCCCUGUUCCUUUCCCUCAGCAACCUGGAGCCUGGGAAGAGAGUGAACAGUGAAGGUCACUGGGGAAGCUUCACAGAAGGGAGGGGAGUCAACGCCACGUUGUCUGCCGGUUACAUGCCAGGCUGUCCCAUUUGUAUGCUAUUGCCCAGCACAUGGAAAGGAGCAGAAGCUUUUGAGGGAAAUAAAGAUGGGGUGGAUAAAGAUAAUGAACCAGACCGUGGGUGCUCAGCUGAGUGGGGACUGAGGAGAUGGAAGAGGAGGGGGAGACUCGAGAUAUUUAACCAGAGUGUCAGAGUCGUAGGCAAAUAGAGAUGGGAAGGAGAGGACCAAAGUGCCCUAGAAAUAGGGGAUUCUGGGCACCAACAGUAACGUGGAUGAGCUUAAAGGAAAAUGAGGAGAUAAAGGAGAUCAAAUAAAAAGGGUGCAGAAGGGAUACUGGGGGGAGGUACAAGGGUGUGUCUGUGAUGAAAGUUGGAUGUGGAGGGGAUAAUACAGAGUUAUGUAAAGAGAGGGUGGCUGCUUUAGGUGUGGGAAGCCACGGACCCCACAGAAGUUUCAAGUUUUGUCACAAAGGAAUUAAAAAGAGCAAAACAAUUUUCAAGAAAGGUGCCUCUCCUGUCAUUCCUUUCUAGCUGGAGGGAUUGGAAAGCAGGUUUGUUUCCCUAAGGAGUGCUACGAUUUUCAAGCAGGGAGAUGUGGGCUUCCUUCCAAGAGUUGGACCAAUAGGAAAGGCCGAGCCAGGUGGCAGUUUCUCUUCUUGACUAACAGAGCCUUAGGACUUUUACAUCCCUUUGAGGAUCUUCCCGAGCGAAAUUUCAUUCAUAAACUACAAAACAACAGAAAAGUCUAACAUCGAAGCUAAUAACAGUAACUUCCAAAAUUGAGGACUGAACCACAGCAGUCAAACUUAACAACCCUUUGAUCAAAUUACAAAACUGGUGACUAAAAGGAACAUGAAACCUGUGAUCCAGUUUUGCAAAAUCUUAUUUGAAAUCUUAUUCAGAUUAACAAGAACAGUGUCACAUGUGCUGAAAAUGGAAAGACCGUAAA
Long non-coding RNA from Canis lupus familiaris (dog), 1065 nucleotides. RefSeq lists it as uncharacterized. NCBI's taxonomy places the organism in Eukaryota, Metazoa, Chordata, Mammalia, Carnivora, Canidae. The transcript is spliced from 3 exons. The record is from RefSeq and is a predicted model, not a curated record.